UACGUAGGGUGCGAGCGUUAAUCGGAAUUACUGGGCGUAAAGGGUCCGUAGGUGGCCAACUAAGUCAGACGUGAAAUCCCUCAGCUUAACUGGGGAACUGCGUCUGAGACUGGAUGGCUUGAGUGCAGGAGAGGAAUGCGGAAUUCCAGGUGUAGCGGUGAAAUGCGUAGAUAUCUGGAGGAACACCGGUGGCGAAGGCGGCAUUCUGGACUGCAACUGACACUGAACGACGAAAGCCAGGGGAGCAAACGGG
This 253-nucleotide ribosomal RNA is filed under the name uncultured bacterium. RNAcentral's name for it is "partial 16S ribosomal RNA". It matches the Rfam family "Bacterial small subunit ribosomal RNA", at positions 524 to 776 of the family's 1533-position model. The record is from RNAcentral.